ACCAGUGUGGCAUAGUGGUUUGAGCAUCAAACUAGGACUCUGGAGACCAGGGUUCGAAUCCUGGCUCAGCCA
Molecule: non-coding RNA, 72 nt
Organism: Phrynosoma platyrhinos (Desert horned lizard)
Lineage: Eukaryota; Metazoa; Chordata; Lepidosauria; Squamata; Phrynosomatidae
Source: the annotation of a GenBank genome assembly